AAAAACAACUUAAACUCAAAUAUAAGUUAAAUCGUAGUGAUUAGUUGCGUUCAAAGUUCAAAAGCGCUCUCAUGACAUCGGCAUAUCACUUCACAUUGUUUUAAGAUACUUCAUUUUUUUUGUUUUUGUUUUAAAUGUAUUAAUAUGUUUUUGUUAUAAUUUAGAAGUGCUGACACAGAUGAUAUCGGUCUUCCUGUGAGGGCUUAUGGGUAUUUUGUUUAAAGUUUCGAAGUUUAAGUGUGACAAAGUUCAAGGUAAAAUUGGUUACGCAGUAAAGUUUCUAUCUCUUGAUAUUUUACAAUUGAAAAAGCAAAAUAUUAAACAAAGGUUAAGGUUACAAGAUCGUUUAAGAUACUUUGAGAAUGGCAAAAUUGGAUACUAGAAAAAGUGGACCUUUAACACAACUGAGUUAAGUAACUCCAGAAAAUGGCAACCAACAGGGAUUUCAAGUAGUUCAUUUUCGGAUAAAUCAUCCGCAACAGAUGUAAUAUGGACAAAGAAGUAAAAAUAGCUCAGGAGUGUCCUUUUUCAUAUCGAAAAUUACUCUUAUCGAAAGGUAUACAGAGUGCUAUAGUGCUACGGAAGGAUCACUCCGAGCCGUUCGAUACCAAACGAGGUUUCGGACAGGGUGACUCACUAUCGUGUGACGUCUUUAACCUGAUGCUGGAGAAAAUAAUACGAACUGCAAAGCUAAAUAGAAAAGAUACAAGAUUAGUUCUGCUAUUUUCAGAAUCGAUAAGGAAGCGAAGCUUAUGGAUCUGGUAGUGAACGAAGACGAUACGAAAUAUCUUCUGUCAUCAAACAAACAAUCAGCACAUUCGCGUCUUGGCUCCCACGACACUGAUGAUAGUCAAUACCGCAGACGAUCAGCGGAUCAGUCUUCACUUGAUAUUACCAAUUGUCGCCAAAUCGCUAAAAGAAGGAAUGAAUGGCGUGCUGUUGUAAACUCAAAGAAAAAAAAUAGCUGCUGCACGCAGUAAAUAGUAAGGAUCAGGAUAACCAAUUGAUCUCUCAUAUACAUCUACAAAUAUGGUAAGAAACCCCUAAAUCAUAGAAGCACAAUCUAUGCAACUCUCCGGAACGACCGAGACACAAUUCGGAAAUCACAUACCAGGGUGUUUCUACUUUUCAUUUCCAAAGCAUAUAGAAUCCGGAGACCUCAAGUUCAUAGUCUUUGUAAAUACUUAAUGAUGGUAUCAAAUGACUUGUCUAACCAGAUAGUUUAGCGCAGAUCGAAGAAAAUUGCGAUGAUUAGAGAUUCUUCCAUAGAAACUGAAAGGACUCGGAUAUUAAAUCUCAGAAAGAUUUCAAGGGUUCAGAUCAAUAGUUAUAUGUAACGACAGUAAAAAAUAACAACAUAUUGAAAUCAACUAACUGGUAGAGAACUUAACUAAUGUUAUAUGAUAGCGACUUGUCAAAAUGUGAUACUUCAUUAAUUUACUUUAUUCUUUAACUCGAUAAGAAAUUUAUAAAUAAAUAUAAUACACUGAAAUAUUAAUUUACUCGUAAAUUAGCUUAGUGACAGUGAGACGCAAUAAAACAUACAUUAAUUUUAAUGAAAAAAUCACUUUGAAACGAACAAUUCUGUGUAAAGUGUUUCGAGAUGUACUUCAACUUAUGAAAUUUGGCGUGCAAUUAUCACAACAAUAAAAACAUAUUAGCAUUUCGUAGGCAUCGCUCGCAAAAUUGCCACCAUCCGGUAAGCGCUGCAACAACAGUUGACACCUAAAGCCGGGGGCAAGGUGCAAAAUUACACAAAAUCGUAAACUAAAUGGAAAAAUCAGUUAAACGAAUACUAAAACUACAACAAAAUUAUUGAAAUGGACUAUGAACGUCAAC
This is a long non-coding RNA of Zeugodacus cucurbitae (melon fly), 1839 nucleotides long. RefSeq lists it as uncharacterized. NCBI's taxonomy places the organism in Eukaryota, Metazoa, Arthropoda, Insecta, Diptera, Tephritidae. The transcript is spliced from 4 exons. The record is from RefSeq and is a predicted model, not a curated record.